CACGUAGGGCGCAAGCGUUGUCCGGAAUUAUUGGGCGUAAAGAGCUCGUAGGCGGUCUGUUGCGUCCGCUGUGAAAACUCGGGGCUUAACCCCGAGCCUGCAGUGGAUACGGGCAGACUAGAGGUAGGUAGGGGAGAAUGGAAUUCCCGGUGUAGCGGUGAAAUGCGCAGAUAUCGGGAGGAACACCGGUGGCGAAGGCGGUUCUCUGGGCCUUACCUGACGCUGAGGAGCGAAAGUGUGGGGAGCGAACAGG
Molecule: ribosomal RNA, 253 nt
Filed under: uncultured bacterium
Lineage: Bacteria
Description: partial 16S ribosomal RNA
Rfam family: Bacterial small subunit ribosomal RNA
Source: RNAcentral